This 422-nucleotide ribosomal RNA is filed under the name uncultured bacterium. RNAcentral's name for it is "bacterial SSU rRNA". It matches the Rfam family "Bacterial small subunit ribosomal RNA", at positions 359 to 773 of the family's 1533-position model. The record is from RNAcentral.
GAAUAUUGGACAAUGGGGGCAACCCUGAUCCAGCCAUCCCGCGUGUGCGAUGAGGGCCUUCGGGUUGUAAAGCACUUUUGGCCGGGAAGAAAAGGCCAUGGCUAAUACCUGGAGCUGCUGACGGAACCUGCAGAAUAAGCACCGGCUAACUACGUGACAGCAGCCGCGGUAAUACGUAGGGUGCAAGCGUUAAUCGGAAUUACUGGGCGUAAAGCGUGCGCAGGCGGUUCGGCAAGAAGGAUGUGAAAUCCCAGGGCUUAACCUUGGAACUGCAUUCUUAACUGCCGGGCUAGAGUAUGUCAGAGGGGGGUAGAAUUCCGCGUGUAGCAGUGAAAUGCGUAGAGAUGCGGAGGAAUACCGAUGGCGAAGGCAGCCCCCUGGGAUAAUACUGACGCUCAUGCACGAAAGCGUGGGGAGCAAAC